Molecule: ribosomal RNA, 497 nt
Filed under: uncultured bacterium
Lineage: Bacteria
Description: partial 16S ribosomal RNA
Rfam family: Bacterial small subunit ribosomal RNA
Source: RNAcentral
GAUGAACGCUGGCGGCGUGCCUAAUACAUGCAAGUCGAGCGAACAGACGAGGAGCUUGCUCCUCUGACGUUAGCGGCGGACGGGUGAGUAACACGUGGAUAACCUACCUAUAAGACUGGGAUAACUUCGGGAAACCGGAGCUAAUACCGGAUAAUAUAUUGAACCGCAUGGUUCAAUAGUGAAAGACGGUUUUGCUGUCACUUAUAGAUGGAUCCGCGCCGCAUUAGCUAGUUGGUAAGGUAACGGCUUACCAAGGCAACGAUGCGUAGCCGAACUGAGAGGGUGAUAGGCCACACUGGAACUGAGACACGGUCCUGACUCCUACGGGAGGCAGCAGUAGGGAAUCUUCCGCAAUGGGCGAAAGCCUGACGGAGCAACGCCGCGUGAGUGAUGAAGGUCUUCGGAUCGUAAAACUCUGUUAUUAGGGAAGAACAAAUGUGUAAGUAACUAUGCACGUCUUGACGGUACCUAAUCAGAAAGCCACGGCUAACUACGUG